GGAUAUGAAGGCAAUCUGGCUGUGACAUUUGUCACCCACUCCAUCACCAGGGUUGAUGUGGCUGACCUGGCUGGCUAGGUGUGUCCUCUUCCUCCUCACUGCCUCAUGCGCAUCUGCCCCAAAGCCGCACACUCAGUGCUCCUGAUGGGAGAGGGUGACCUUCCCUGAACAGAGGAGGACCUGUUUUCAGUCAAGGGUAUGUGAGUAGCUACACUCCCCUGCUACAACCUCCAAACAAGCUCAGAGAAGAAGAAAAAUAGCCAGGCAGUGGUGGUGCACNCCUUUGAUCCCACCCACUUGGGAGGCAGAGGCAGCUGGAUCUCUAUGAGU
This 330-nucleotide small nuclear RNA is filed under the name Neotoma lepida (desert woodrat). RNAcentral's name for it is "7SK RNA". It matches the Rfam family "7SK RNA". From Rfam's summary of the family: 7SK was discovered as an abundant small nuclear RNA in the mid-70s but a possible function has only recently been suggested. The record is from Rfam by way of RNAcentral. Lineage: Eukaryota; Metazoa; Chordata; Mammalia; Rodentia; Cricetidae.